This 1457-nucleotide ribosomal RNA is filed under the name uncultured bacterium. Its description in RNAcentral is "16S ribosomal RNA". It matches the Rfam family "Bacterial small subunit ribosomal RNA". The record is from RNAcentral.
AGAGUUUGAUCCUGGCUCAGAACGAACGCUGGGCGGGCAGGSUUAACACAUGGMAAGUCGAACGCUCGUARCAAUACGGGAGUGGCAGACGGGUGUGUAACACGUGGGAACAUACCCUUCGGUACGGAACAACUCGGGGAAACCCGAGCUAAUACCGUAUACGCCUUGGCGGGGAAAGAUUUAUCGCCGAAGGAUUGGCCCGCGUCCGAUUAGCUAGUUGGUGAGGUAAUGGCUCACCAAGGCGACGAUCGGUAGCUGGUCUGAGAGGAUGGCCAGCCACAUUGGGACUGAGACACGGCCCAAACUCCUACGGGAGGCAGCAGUGGGGAAUAUUGGACAAUGGGCGCAAGCCUGAUCCAGCCAUGCCGCGUGAGUGAUGAAGGCCUUAGGGUUGUAAAGCUCCUUCAUCAGGGACGAUAAUGACGGUACCUGAAGAAGAAGCCCCGGCUAACUUCGUGCCAGCAGCCGCGGUAAUACGAAGGGGGCUAGCGUUGUUCGGAUUUACUGGGCGUAAAGGGUGCGUAGGCGGAUUUUUAAGUCAGGGGUGAAAUCCCAAGGCUCAACCUUUGGAAACUUUGCCUUUGAUACUGGGAAUCUUGAGUCCGGGAGAAGGUGAGUGGAACUGCGAGUGUAGAGGUGAAAUUCGUAGAUAUUCGCAAGAACACCAGUGGCGAAGGCGGCUCACUGGCCCGGAACUGACGCUGAGGCACGAAAGCGUGGGGAGCAAACAGGAUUAGAUACCCUGGUAGUCCACGCCUUAAACGAUGAAUGCCAGCCGUUAGGCAGUUUACUGCUGAGUGGCGCAGCUAACGCUUUAAGCAUUCCGCCUGGGGAGUACGGUCGCAAGAUUAAAACUCAAGGAAUUGACGGGGGCCCGCACAAGCGGUGGAGCAUGUGGUUUAAUUCGAAGCAACGCGCAGAACUUUACCAGCUCUUGACAUGGCAGGACGGUUUCCGGAGACGGGAUCCUUCACUUCGGUGACCUGCGCACAGGUGCUGCAUGGCUGUCGUCAGCUCAUGUCGUGAGAUGUUGGGUUAAGUCCCGCAACGAGCGCAACCCACGUCCUUAGUUGCCAUCAUUCAGUUGGGCACUCUAGGGAGACUGCCGGUGAUAAGCCGAGAGGAAGGUGUGGAUGACGUCAAGUCCUCAUGGCCCUUACGGGCUGGGCUACACACGUGCUACAAUGGCGGUGACAGAGGGAUGCGAUGCCGCGAGGCCGAGCAAAUCUCCAAAAGCCGUCUCAGUUCGGAUUGCACUCUGCAACUCGAGUGCAUGAAGUUGGAAUCGCUAGUAAUCGUGGAUCAGCACGCCACGGUGAAUACGUUCCCGGGCCUUGUACACACCGCCCGUCACACCAUGGGAGUUGGUUCUACCCGAAGGCGUUUCGCCAACCCGCAAGGGGGGCAGGCGACCACGGUAGGGUCAGCGACUGGGGUGAAGUCGUAACAAGGUAACC